Molecule: ribosomal RNA, 150 nt
Filed under: uncultured bacterium
Lineage: Bacteria
Description: partial 16S ribosomal RNA
Rfam family: Bacterial small subunit ribosomal RNA
Source: RNAcentral
UGACGCAGCACGCCGCGUGAGUGAUGAAGGCCUUCGGAUCGUAAAGCUCUGUCACGUGGGAAGAAAUGCGUGUUGGCUAAUAUCCUGUACGCUUGACGGUACCUCCAAAGGAAGCACCGGCUAACUCCGUGCCAGCAGCCGCGGUAAUAC